GCGAUGAUAAACAUGUUAACUGGCGUCCAAUCCUCCACUGACUUGGAUAGUGGUGUAACAGUACAACAUAAGAGAAAACUAAACAAUCAGUUGAAAAGGCUUAACUCAUCAGGUGGAUACAAUUAAAAAUAAUUUGUACACAAAAAAAGUGAACGUGGGAGGGUACUUGUACAUCCCAAAAACAAAAUCCUAAAUUAAAUAGUCACCAAAUUAAGAUCUGGAAGUAGUCGCAAGUACUGAAAGCUAUUUCAAAGCCAAAACAAUUAAAAAAAAAAUCAUGCAUCUAAGACUAAUUUAUCAGUUAAUGCACAUCCCACAUCCAAUGGGUUAAGUGUGAAGAAGUCUUAAACAGUAGAUUUUUUUCUAAUGUUGUUAGAACAUUGUGGACAUAUUAUUUUUGAUCCCGAUGAUUUCAUAUAUUUAGCUUAGCCGUAUUUGGCAUAACUUUCCUUUUUGAUCCUUAAUGCUCUUCAACUUUGUGCUUGUUUCAAACGGCUUUUUAAAUGUUUUGAUAUGAGCGUCACUGAUGAGUAUUAUGAAGACGA
RNAcentral lists this long non-coding RNA (545 nucleotides) under Mytilus galloprovincialis (Mediterranean mussel). Lineage: Eukaryota; Metazoa; Mollusca; Bivalvia; Mytilida; Mytilidae. The record is from RNAcentral.